Unclassified non-coding RNA from Cavia aperea (Brazilian guinea pig), 100 nucleotides. It matches the Rfam family "Y RNA". From Rfam's summary of the family: Y RNAs are components of the Ro ribonucleoprotein particle (Ro RNP), in association with Ro60 and La proteins. The Y RNAs and Ro60 and La proteins are well conserved, but the function of the Ro RNP is not known. In humans the RNA component can be one of four small RNAs -- hY1, hY3, hY4 and hY5. NCBI's taxonomy places the organism in Eukaryota, Metazoa, Chordata, Mammalia, Rodentia, Caviidae. The record is from Ensembl.
GGCUGGUCCGAAGGGAGGGAGAUUGUUCAGAGUCAGAACAGACUGGACUCCUUGUUCUGCUCGUUCCCGCCUUCUCACUACUGCACUUGACUCGUCUUAA